This is a long non-coding RNA of Salvia splendens (bonfire salvia), 1239 nucleotides long. RefSeq lists it as uncharacterized. The transcript has 2 exons. The record is from RefSeq and is a predicted model, not a curated record. NCBI's taxonomy places the organism in Eukaryota, Viridiplantae, Streptophyta, Magnoliopsida, Lamiales, Lamiaceae.
CAGCGUGCGCUCGCCGUUUUUCUCGCCGAUUUGCCGCUCGCCGGCUGCAAUGGUUCGGCGAGCGGACCGGCCAGCGCCGAGAAUCGGCUAGCCGGUCCGCUCGCCGCCAUUGUGGAUGCUCUAAGAUUCAGCCAAACUGUUCCAUUACAACUUUCAUCAUCAGAGAAUCAAAACAAAACUGCCACAAGUAGGAAAGCUCAACCACAAGCUCAUUGAUCAAGGCCCAAAGAGCCAGCCAAGAGAGGGAAUCUAUUUCCCCUGAAUUUCACCAAAUAGGUAACAACACUUGGAUUAGAACAUAGUAGAGAUGAGGUGACAGCCCCUAAAUGGAAGGAACUCUCCCCAAAAAUUCAGGCACAAGAUGCCAAGAAUGAGAACUAUAUAAGCUGCCUUCACCCCUCCUCUCUCCCCACCACUUCGGCACCAUAAGCUUUAUACAACACCAACGAGUGCAGCAAGGGGAAGGCAGAGGAGCAGGGCGAAUUCCACGAAUGGACCUCCUGGGAGAUGGGGCCUUGCUCAAGUACGAACAAUAUUGAAAAUGAGUGGUUUCAGCAAGAAAGGAAGGAAAUCCCCUCAUGAACAAGGAAAAUGUGAUUGGUUUUGUAUGAUGAUAAUUUAAAAGAAAGGAAAAGCAAAAUUGAAUGACUACUGCAAUCAAAUGAAGACAACUCCAACAACAACUCAUUGUCAAUCGACGCAAACUAUUUAAUUCAAACAUCAAUGGUGCCACUUAUUUCUUCCUAUUUCCCACUUUAGAUCAGCACCAGUGGCGGACACAGUAAGGAGCAAUGAGGAGCUUAAGCCCUUCCCAAAUGUUUUAUUUUGAUGUUUUUCUUCUUCUAAAUUUUUAAAAAUUUCCAAAAUUUAGCUAUAGCCCUCCUAAGAUUUUGCCGUAGGAGAGUAUAUUGUCGAGUUUUAAUGAGUGAAAGGGGCUGAAAAAUCUGUAAAUCGGAGAGUUGCAGAAAAAAAAUGGUUGUUGCAAAUCGCAACUUGAAGAAGACGACUGGUUGUAGACUUGUAUAGUAUAAUUAAGUAUUACUCCCUCCGUGAAUCAACCCACUUUCUAUUAAAUGCUGCAGACCCUCUUAAAUGCUCUCUACUUAAUAUCUUCAAAAUACUACUACUAAUGGUGGUGGGGCCUACACAUGGCAUAGCCUCCUAGAUUUGUUGAACGAUAAAUAGUACCAUACUGCAUUAUUGAUUGAGAAAUCCAAUAAAAAGUAUUCUGCAAUUUUA